Molecule: ribosomal RNA, 477 nt
Filed under: uncultured bacterium
Lineage: Bacteria
Description: bacterial SSU rRNA
Rfam family: Bacterial small subunit ribosomal RNA
Source: RNAcentral
UUCGCAAUGCCCGAAAGGGUGACGAAGCGACGCCGCGUGCGGGAGGAAGGCCUUCGGGUUGUAAACCGCUGUCGGGAGUUAAGAAAUGCAAGGAUGUUAAUAGCGUUCUUGCUUGACUAAGGCUCCGGAGGAAGCCACGGCUAACUCUGUGCCAGCAGCCGCGGUAAUACAGAGGCGGCAAGCGUUGUUCGGAAUUAUUGGGCGUAAAGAGCACGUAGGCGGCUGUGUAAGUCGGUUGUGAAAGCCUUCCGCUCAACGGAGGAACGGCAUCCGAUACUGCAUGGCUUGAGUGUGGGAGGGGAGAGUGGAACUUCUGGUGGAGCGGUGAAAUGCGUAGAUAUCAGAAGGAACACCGGCGGCGAAGGCGACUCUCUGGUCCAUAACUGACGCUGAGUGUGCGAAAGCUAGGGGAGCAAACGGGAUUAGAUACCCCGGUAGUCCUAGCCGUAAACGAUGGGCACUAAGUAGAGGGGUUUU